UACGAACUGUGCGACCGUUAUUCGGAAUCACUGGGCUUACGGGGUGCGUAGGCGGCUUAGCAAGUCAGGUGUGAAAGCCCCCGGCUCAACCGGGGAACUGCGCUUGAAACUGCUGAGCUCGAGUCAGCUAGAGGUACACGGAACUUCCAGUGGAGCGGUGAAAUGUGUUGAUAUUGGAAGGAACACCGGAGGCGAAAGCGGUGUACUGGGACUGGUCUGACGCUGAGGCACGAAAGCCAGGGGAGCGAACGGG
RNAcentral lists this ribosomal RNA (253 nucleotides) under uncultured bacterium. Its description in RNAcentral is "partial 16S ribosomal RNA". It matches the Rfam family "Bacterial small subunit ribosomal RNA", at positions 524 to 776 of the family's 1533-position model. The record is from RNAcentral.